RNAcentral lists this ribosomal RNA (539 nucleotides) under Trichoderma koningiopsis. RNAcentral's name for it is "eukaryotic LSU rRNA". The stretch from base 149 to 302 matches the Rfam family "5.8S ribosomal RNA". The record is from RNAcentral. Lineage: Eukaryota; Fungi; Ascomycota; Sordariomycetes; Hypocreales; Hypocreaceae.
CCAAACUGUUGCCUCGGCGGGGUCACGCCCCGGGUGCGACGCAGCCCCGGAACCAGGCGCCCGCCGGAGGGACCAACCAAACUCUUUCUGUAGUCCCCUCGCGGACGUUAUUUCUUACAGCUCUGAGCAAAAAUUCAAAAUGAAUCAAAACUUUCAACAACGGAUCUCUUGGUUCUGGCAUCGAUGAAGAACGCAGCGAAAUGCGAUAAGUAAUGUGAAUUGCAGAAUUCAGUGAAUCAUCGAAUCUUUGAACGCACAUUGCGCCCGCCAGUAUUCUGGCGGGCAUGCCUGUCCGAGCGUCAUUUCAACCCUCGAACCCCUCCGGGGGGUCGGCGUUGGGGAUCGGGAACCCCUAAGACGGGAUCCCGGCCCCGAAAUACAGUGGCGGUCUCGCCGCAGCCUCUCCUGCGCAGUAGUUUGCACAACUCGCACCGGGAGCGCGGCGCGUCCACGUCCGUAAAACACCCAACUUCUGAAAUGUUGACCUCGGAUCAGGUAGGAAUACCCGCUGAACUUAAGCAUAUCAAUAAGCGGAGGAA